UACGGAGGAUGCAAGCGUUAUCCGGAUUUAUUGGGUUUAAAGGGUGCGCAGGCGGAAAGAUAAGUCAGUGGUGAAAUCCUACGGCCUAACUGUAGAACUGCCAUUGAAACUGCCUUUCUUGAGUAUAGUUGAAGUGGGCGGAAUGUGUCAUGUAGCGGUGAAAUGCAUAGAUAUGACACAGAACACCGAUAGCGAAGGCAGCUCACUAAACUAAAACUGACGCUCAUGCACGAAAGCGUGGGGAGCAAACAGG
Molecule: ribosomal RNA, 253 nt
Filed under: uncultured bacterium
Lineage: Bacteria
Description: partial 16S ribosomal RNA
Rfam family: Bacterial small subunit ribosomal RNA
Source: RNAcentral